GCACUCCAGUUGACUUUGCGGAGAUAUGGAAGGCGGCUUUGGCUCGGAUUUCGGGAGCUCCGGCAGCGGGAAGCUGGACCCGGGGCUUAUCAUGGAGCAGGUGAAAGUGCAGAUCGCCGUGGCCAACGCGCAGGAGCUGCUGCAGAGGAUGACGGACAAGUGCUUCCGGAAGUGCAUCGGGAAGCCGGGGGGCUCCUUGGACAAUUCGGAGCAGAAGUGCAUCGCCAUGUGCAUGGACCGCUACAUGGACGCCUGGAACACCGUGUCCCGUGCCUACAACUCUCGGCUGCAGCGAGAACGAGCCAACAUGUGAUCGCGACGCGCCAGCAGCCCACUUCCCACCCCACCCCACUCCCAGUUCCAUCUCCAUAAAUGCUGUUUGUGAGGCGGGGGCCAACGUGUGCGUGCUGCCUGCCAGAAGUUUAUGAGGACCAGACUGGUGCUGGGACAGUUGGUAUUCUGUCUCUCCGUGCCCCGUUCGCGCACACGUGCCGGCGAGUGUAACUUGCGUCUGGGGGGCCCCUGGCCCGGGUGGUGCCUUCCCUAGUGCCCCUGUUACCGAAUUGUGUCAUAUGGACCCUGUUGGGGGCCGGCUUAGGCUCUAUGUCUCCUAGGGGGUGUUCUUUUUCUGUUCCGUGGAGCCUGAAGCUGAGAUGGACACAGCACAAGCUUUAUUCAGCAGUUAAAGUAUGGAGACGCGUGAACAAACGAACUCACAGAUCAGCUUCUUAGCUGGCGAGAGGGGCUUAAUUUUAACAAGGAGGCCUGUGUGUAUGUCUACGCGGGAAGGGGCUGAGCUUUUUCCGAGGGAGUGGGGUGCCACCUCUUUUUUAUCUUUUUUGGUCUUUAAUGUCUGGUCGAGGCUGCGGAUGCGUGUGUUAUUUAAUAAGCUAAUGUAGUAAAAUCCACACAUAAUGAGACAGCGUUUGUUGGAAGUCAGAUUUGCCACCAUUUUCCUCCCAGCAGGGUUUCGUGGUUUUGUUUUUGUGUGUAUGUGUCUUCGUGUUCUAUGCAUUAGGAUUAACUGAAAGUUAAUCUUUAAAGAUUUCUGUUCACUCCUACUAAAAGGUGGGGUGGUGGUUGGCAGGUUUUGAGCAGGGACCUCCUUCCUGCAAAAGGUCAGGGUGGAUAGGUUGUGAGGAAAGGGCUGGAGCAGCUCUGGUGACAAACUACUCCCUUCCUUAUUAUUGCUCAUUCCUUUUUUUUUUUUCUUCUUCUUUUUUUUUUUUUUUUUUAAUGGCUGCAGGUGAGGCCUAUGGAAGUUCCUGGGCCAGGGAUUGAAUUCAAACCAAAGGACUUCCCUUGUGGCUCACAACAUAACUACAUGGUGUUGUUUCUACAGUGGCUGUGGUUCUGUCCCUGGCUCGGCAAUUUCCAUAUGCUGCAGGAGUGGCCAGUUGUUAUAAAAAAAACAAAAAGAAGAAGAAGAAGAAUGAAUCUGAGCCAAAGCUAUGACUUACGUUACACCUGUGGCAAUUCAGGAUCCUUUAACCUGCUGUGCCAGGCCAGAAACUGGAGCCGCUGCAGCCAGAUUCUUAAUCUACUGUGCCACAGUGAAAACUCCCUGCCCUCAUUCUUUUUUUUUUUAAUUUUUAAAUUUUAUUUAUUUAUUUAUUUAUUUAUUUUUGUCUUUUUGCUAUUUCGUGGGCCGCUCUCGCGGCAUAUGGAGGUUCCCAGGCUAGAGGUCGAAUCGGAGCUAUAGCUGCCAGCCUACGCUGGAGCCACAGCAACGCAGGAUCCGAGCCGAGUCUGCGACCUACACCACAGCUCACGGCAAUGCCGGAUCCUUUAACCCACUGAGCAAGGGCAGGGAUCGAACCCGCAACCUCAUGGUUCCUAGUCGGAUUCGUUAACCACUGCGCCACGACGGGAACUCCUUUGCCCCUCAUUCUUGAGGGUGAAAGUGUGUCUUCUGAGGCUGCUUCCUGUUGAACUUGGGGAAUAGUUUUUUUCUGUAGCAGAGCUGUUCCUGACUUGCCUAAAAUAUAUCUGAUUGUCACCAGGCAGCAGUCCCAGUGCUUAUACCCCCCUGUAUGAGUAUCAGCUGAAGCUUGAGGACUCUGAACCAUUUACUAAAAAAGCUGACAAGGCUGUUCGAGAGGCCAGGCCUGAAGAUGAUCAGGAGAUUAAUAGCAGUUAGUGCAUCAAGAUGAGGAAGAUACCAGGUUUUAUUGGGAAGGCCCUGUUUGACUAUAUUCCAGAUGGAGCUUGGGUUAGGACCUUGUGUGUUAUAUCUUUGUAACCUCUGAGCUUGCUCUUGUAUCUCUUUUAUGUUUAUCUCAGUCUGAUGAGAGUGUGGGGCAAGUUUUAUUGGUAACUGCAGAGACUCCCCCCUUGCUCAGCCAGGAGAUAGUCAAGGACAGUAUUUGCUCCUGAGUCCAGAGAAGUAGGGGAUCCUUGGAAGGCAUCCCUCAUGUUUUUAGACAAGUUCUCAAGGGCCCAUGUGAGAUUUUGUGCCGUGAUUUCGUAGUACGUAAAACCUCCCAGGGGGCUGCCAGGCCCAGAGCAAUCCCUACUCCUUCCAGGAUGAGUUUUAUUGCCUUUUUGUCUCAGGCCUGGGUGAUGUUAUGAAUGGUUAUACCUAGGUUCCUAAAACUUAGCUAGUGUAGCAUGCAUUUUGCACAAACUGGGCAUCAUCUAAGCAAGGGUAGGCUAGGUUUGUUCUGAUAGGGCAAGUGGUUUAUCCCUGGGCUCCAAAGGAACAGGUAGGUACCCAGAGGGAGCCCAUGCCUGGUGCACUUAUGAGGAGUUGAACCACCUUCAUAAGAGGCUGGCCCAAGAGGCGGUGGCCUUGCAGUGUGGGAAGAGAAGCCCACCUGCAUAUUGGGGGUCACUGGGGGAAUUCUUGACUGGUGACUUUUCCCCAGAAAUUUGGGAGAGCCAUAGACUAAACAUCAGACAUCGUCUCUUCCCAGCAGGUGCAUCUCCCAUCUGGUCCCUGUGUAUAUUCACGGAGUCAGAGUAGAGGGCACCAAUGGGUGAGAUUUCCACACGAGUCAAUCCCAGGGCGCUUAAAUUGUGAGGUAAUGGGAGAAACAUUGAUUGGAGUUCACAGCAGCUCCAGGGUGUUACUGUCGAUUCUUCCCUUUGGGGGGGUGGCCGUUCAUGGGGCGGUGGAAGUGGGAGAUCAGUUAGAGUGGUGGCACUUGAGAGUGAGUGCUUUGUGUUUGUUAGCGAUGCUAACAUGAGGGGUGAGGGCCAAGCAGGCAACUAUGUUGCGGUGGGACGUGGACUUCAAGAGGGCUAAAUUUGGCAGAGCUGUGAGCCAAGGUGAGAGUGAGGUCGUCAUUCUCAGGGGUAAGAUGUAACACCUUUCAUCCAUAGGCGUCACUGUGGAUGUGGGUGACGGACCAGCCCUGGGAUAGAUUUUGCCCAUGGGCAAGAAAUUUGCGAUUCCAUUAAGUUCCCAUUCUGCAUGGAUAGUUGUCUGAAAUAGAGCAGAGAAUAUAAGGAAGAGUUGUCCAUAAUGGCUCUUCAUCCUGUUUCCUGUGUUAACAUCCAGCAUGGACAGUCAAGAUGUUUGCCAGAGAAGGGCAUUUGGCAGAACACCAGAAGUCAAGUAAGGCAAUAGUAAUGGCAAGGCCAAAUACUCAGCCUGUCCACCGCAUUACUUAGUUGGUGGUAAGUUUGUCCUUUUGAAGAGGAACUUAAGGUCUGUGACACGUUCACAAGGGUAACGAGUGGGUGGCCCAGUCACUUCUUCCUCAGACAUAGUGAUGUUUUCCCUCUGGUAGGAUGGGUCCUGUAAUUUGAGGGCAGAAUGAGUUGACUAGAUAAGGUCCUCUCCACUUGGGGUCUCACUAACUGGUCUUGUGGGUUUCCAGCCUUCCAAGUUUUCAAAUAAACCCAGUCCCCGGGGAGAAAGGAUGUAUGGCCAUGCCAGGAGGGAAGGUGGCUCGAUUGUCUUGCGGUGGAAAGCUGGGAUUAUUUCCCUCUCUGUAAGGCAUGUUUCUGUCGAGCUGUGUCCCUAAGGUUGAUCUUGGAGCUGGUCCUUCAGGAACGUGCCUCUCGUGUACGGGCUCGUAUGGACUCAGACUGAGCUUUCCUCGAGGGGUGAGUCCCAUUCUCGCAAGUGCAGUGGGGAGAAGGGGGAUCCAGGGUUGAUGAGUGUCUUGACAGAGUUUGGCUCAGUUUCUCUGGAGGGUUUGACUUAUUCUACUUUUCUUGAGGACUGUGGUUUCCGAAUGGGACGUAAACCCCAUUUAAUUCUUAGAGCUCUAGGGACUCCCUCGGUAGUCUGAAACAGAGGGAGGCCAUUGUCGCUCUGGAUGGACUUAGCCCAAACCCAGGAUUUGUCCCUUGAGCAGCGCCAUCGAGACAGACCUCCAGGGCAGUGUUGGUUCGAUGGGGAUGACCUCCAUCCAGCCUGAGAACAUGUCGGUCAAAACCCUGCAGAUAGCUAAGAUUUCCUUGUGGCCAGGAUAUUACUGUAAAAUCAGUUUGCCAGGCAGUUCCCUGGUGGUGCAGUGGGUUGAGGAUCUGGUGCUAUCUCUGCUGUGGUGGAGGUUUGAUCCCUGGUCUUGAAACUUCUACAUGCCCACCCCCCCCAAAUCAGUGUAUCUGUCUUGACCUGGGUAUGUGGCUCUAUGCUGGGUGUUGGUCAUUCCCUUGACCUUUCUGGGGGUGGGGGGUGCAUGUGGUGAGUGGUGGGCUUAUUCCAGAGGCGGACAGGCAAGCUUUAACCACCUGUUGAAGGAGGCAUGAGAAACGGGGCCGUCAUGGACGUGAUGAGCAAUCAGUAUGGGGGCCCCCUGCCUGUGAUUGUGCUCUGGCGGGCGUCCCGGCUGGCGCAGUGCAGUGGCCAAUGGGAGGGGCAGCUGCCCAUGGUCAUAACCACCCACCCUGGGAAUCCUGGGCUUUUAAAAUAGCCCCAUCUGGGGAGUUCCCGUGGUGGUGCAAUGGAAAUGAAUCCAACGAAUAUCCAUGAAGAUGCAGGUUCGAUCUGUGGCCUUGCUUAGUGGGGUAAGGAAGGAUCUGGCGUUGCCAUGAGCUGCGGGGUAGGUCAUAGGGCUCAGGUCCCGUUUGGCUGUGGCAUAGGCCGGCGGCCACAGCUCUGAUUCGACCCCUAUGCUGGGAACUUCCAUGUGGCCCGGACAUGGCCCUAAAAAGCCAAAAAAAAAAAGCUCCACCUCAAAGCCCUUCCCCUUUUUUCUGGGGUGUAGGUGGGAGUGUAGGACUUCAGUUCUGGGGGAACUGGUAGGAAGAGAGAAGGAUCUUAGAGAAGCCUGACUUGGACUUGGAGGGUUUGACCCGUGUGCCCCCUUUCUUUAUGAGAAGCUGGAGCUAGUGGGGGUCAGGGACUGUCCAGAGGUUAAUUUGUCAGCCUCAUUGAGGACCCCCUCCCUUAAGCAUGGGGUCCUCCUUUCGUGCUUUGGACCAGUUUUAGAAAAAUAGGCUGCAGCCUGAGUCAGAGGUCCCCGAUUGUGUAAACGCUCAGGGCAGCUCCUCCUUUCUCAUGCAUGUAUGUGUGGACGGGAUGGCUCAGGUCAGAGGAGCUAACUUGGGGGUCUCAUGAGAUGGUUUUUCAGUUCCAGAAAUGCCUGGUCACAACUGGGGGUCCCCUGGAAGGGGUCAAGUUCCUCCCCUUUUCAGUGUUCUCACAAGGGCUUAGCGAUUAAGCCACAGUUAGGGAUCCCUGUGCAGCAGGACCCGACCAUCCUGGGAACCCCAGAGCUGCUUCCUUGUACUAGAGGCGCCAUCUGGCAACUCUUUCCUCUCCCUGUACAGGGCCCUUUGCCCCUUUUCUGUAAUGAACCCUAAGUGUUCUACCUGCCAGAGGGAGGUGUGCGCUUUCUCCUCUGCAGCUGUAUCCUCCCUCAGCCGGUGAUUUAAGACCUUAACUGCAUCGUGGUGAGGAAGCUCUUUGGUGGGGCUGGUGGUGAAAUGUCAUCCACUGUUGAAUAGCUCCCUGUUCUAACUUGAGGUGACCAACGUCCUUGGCUCAGCAGUAACAAACCCGACGAGUAUCUGGAUGUGGGUUCACUCCCUGGCCUCGCUCAGUGGGUUGAGGAUCCAGUGUUGCCGUGAGCUGUGGUAUAGUUCGAGGAUGCAGCUCGGAUCUGGCGUUGCUGUGGCUGUGGUGUAGCCUGGCAGCUAUAGCUCGGAUUAGACCCCUAGCCUGGGAACCUCCAUGUGCUUGCUGUGGGUGCGGCCCUAAAAAAUAUAAAAAAAAAAACCAUAGGGAGGUUUUAAAUCCUUGGAGAUACAGAAACAUUCAGCACAAUUGUUAUUUUCCCAUGCUGUCAGGGUUUCUGCCACCCAAGCGCAAAAAUGUAUUGAGAUUCUGGAGCUAGGGGCACACGCAAGAGGGCCUCUAACCCGGAGUACCAGGUCCUCUCAGGGCGUAGGUAGAGCGGUGAUGUGUUGGGCACCACAGUGUGAAUCUCCUCUGUAGCUUCAUUUACAGCCCAGAGGUCCUGAGCUUCCCAUUUGGCUCCUUUACCAGCAGAAGAGGAGUGUUGCAAGGGGGCCAGCGGGGUCUAAGGAGCUCUUGCUUGAGGAGGCUUUGUGUUGCUAAGGCUUCUUUGCUUAAGAGGUAUUGUGUUUUUAUUUGGGUGAUUGUGACUGGGUCACAGCCUGACUACGAGGGGCGGUGCCCUUCUGACUCUGCCCAUGGUGUCCCGGGUCCCUACUGGGGACCCUCAGGGUCAAUCAGGCUGUUAUUCUUGGCAGAGGGCAGUCGCACUUGGGCUGCAAAAUGGAAGGGAGCUUUGGGUGUUGCGAUGGUAAGGUGUUGGUCUCUGAGGUGAAUUGUAGCUCCCAGUUUGUAUAGUGCAUCUUUUCCUUUGAGGGGAGCUGAGCGGCGUUCUGGUACGUGUAAGAGUGAGACAGCAUUCUACCUUCUGCAUCCUACUCCAGGGGCUCUAUAAAGUUAUAUCCCUGCGGCCUCCCUUCUGCUCGCUUUAUCUUAGAGUUAUCCUUCAUCUUUUUGCUUUGUCGGUGUUCAAGGCUGAGUAGGUGGACACUGUGUCCACUAGAAAGUCAACCUUGGGGAGUUCCCGUCGUGGCGCAGUGGUUAACGAAUCCGACUAGGAAUCAUGAGGUUGCGGGUUCGGUCCCUGCCCUUGCUCAGUGGGUUAACGAACGAUCUGGCGUUGCCGUGAGCUGUGGUGUAGGUUGCAGACGCGGCUCGGAUCCCGCGUUGCUGUGGCUCUGGCGUAGGCCGGUGGCUACAGCUCCGAUUCAACCCCUAGCCUGGGAACCUCCAUAUGCCGCAGGAGCGGCCCAAGAAAUAGCAACAACAACAACAACAACAAAAAAAAAGACAAAAAAAAAAAAAAGAAAGUCAACCUUUUUUUUGGAGUUCCUGUCACGGCACAGUGGAAAUGAAUCCAACUAGGAACCAUGAAGUUGUGGGUUCGAUCCCUGGCCUCCUCGCUCAGUGGGUUAAGAAUCCGGUGUUGCCAUGACCUGUGGUGUAGGGCGCAGAUGCAGCUCAGAUCUGGCGUGGCUGUGGCUGUGGUGUUGGCCAGCAGCUGUAGCUCCGAUUCGACCCCUAGCCUGGGAACCUCCAUAUGCUGUGGUGUGGCUCUAAGGAAAAAAAGAAAGUCAACCUUUUUUGGUUUUUCUCCUCCUUUUUUGGCUGCAUGGCCAUAGAGCAUACUCCAUAGAGUUCUCAGGCCAGAGAUCAGAUCUGUGCCACACUUGGGACCUAAGCCACAGCUGUGGCAGCAGUGUGCCUGGCUGGGGAUUGAACCUGCAUCCUGCCGCUGCAGAGACAUCACCGAUCCAAUUGCACCGCAGCAGGAACUCCAGAGAGUUAGCCUUUUUACCCCCCACAGUCAGGUUCAGCCGAGGCUCCUCCAGGUUCUCUGCUUCUUUCACGUGUAUGACCAGUGAGCAUGAGCCAGGACACUGUGUCCCUUAGCUCCCUUCCAGUACCAUUGGGGCACCCCUGUCCAGGGGCCCUCCUGCAGGCGGUAUGGAUGCUGAUUGGCUUGGAGCCCUUCUCUCCACUGUGGGCAUGGUCUUUGAAACCCAGCGCAGUUCGUCCAUGUCACUGGGUUGGGGGUGCAUCAUCACUGGAAGUUGGUUGAUCCUGAAUCCCUGAAGCCAGAACACUGACAGUUCUUUCUCUUCAUCUAUCCUCCCUGGCAUCCACCUCCAGAUCCCUAACAUCCAAAAUGCAGACCCCACCUCUGGCACGGCGGGCCCUCCCUCCAACUUCUGUCACUUUCUCCUGUUGUCUGGGUGCUCUGGGAAGUGAAAUGGAGCUUAAAGUGGCCCUCCCUUCCACUGCCCCCAGGUUCACAUUUGUGUACACGGGAAGGCCGAGGGGUUUUCCUCCCGCCCCUGGAUACCACCCUGAGCCCUAUUCCAGUUGAUAGGUUUCUUCCCAGCCAACUGAAUGCCCUUAGGAAUCAAAUCCUGUGGAGUUCCCUGGUGGCAUAGUGGGUUAAGAAUCUGGUGUUGUCAUUGCUGUGGCUCUGGUUACAGCUGUGGCAUGAGUUUGAUCCCUGGCCUGGGAACUUUCCCAUGCCAUGGGGAAGGCCAAAAAAAAAAAAAAAAAAAAAAA
This 8515-nucleotide long non-coding RNA is filed under the name Sus scrofa (pig). RNAcentral describes it as "lncRNA (ENSSSCG00045008409.1)". Lineage: Eukaryota; Metazoa; Chordata; Mammalia; Artiodactyla; Suidae. The record is from RNAcentral.